GAGGAUAUAGCUCAGUGCUAGAGUGUGUGCUUAGCAUGCAUGAGGUCCUGGGUUCAAUCCCCAGUCCCCCUC
RNAcentral lists this transfer RNA (72 nucleotides) under Camelus ferus (Wild Bactrian camel). It matches the Rfam family "tRNA". From Rfam's summary of the family: Transfer RNA (tRNA) molecules are approximately 80 nucleotides in length. Their secondary structure includes four short double-helical elements and three loops (D, anti-codon, and T loops). Lineage: Eukaryota; Metazoa; Chordata; Mammalia; Artiodactyla; Camelidae. The record is from Rfam by way of RNAcentral.